This 259-nucleotide ribosomal RNA is filed under the name uncultured bacterium. RNAcentral describes it as "partial 16S ribosomal RNA". It matches the Rfam family "Bacterial small subunit ribosomal RNA", at positions 793 to 1055 of the family's 1533-position model. The record is from RNAcentral.
GUCCACGCCCUAACGAUGUCAACUGGUUGUUGGGUCUUCACUGACUCAGUAACGAAGCUAACGCGUGAAGUUGACCGCCUGGGGAGUACGGCCGCAAGGUUGAACUCAAAGGAAUUGACGGGACCCGCACAAGCGGUGGAUGAUGUGGUUUAAUUCGAUGCAACGCGAAACCUUACCCACCUUUGACAUGUACGGAAGUCGCUAGAGAUAGCUUCGUGCUCGAAAGAGAACCGUAACACAGGUGCUGCAUGGCUGUCGU